ACAAGCCUCAAAAUUUAUAUUAUGUUCCAAUUUCACCUCUGAUCAUCAUUCAUUUAUUCACUGACACUAUUAUGUUGAACUCACUCAGACCUAUCUCUUUUCUUCCUUAAUUUCAUUUUUUCUUGUAAUCAAAUGUAUUUCUCUAAUUGUUUAAGGCCAAUUUAGUUUUAACUUUGUAAUAUGUUUUUUCUUUUUCAAUUUUUUAGGUUAUUGCAUUCUCAUCUCACAAGGAGGUGUGCC
This 240-nucleotide long non-coding RNA is filed under the name Lathyrus oleraceus (garden pea). RNAcentral describes it as "Pisum sativum (pea) long non-coding RNA (PSAT_LNC026561)". Lineage: Eukaryota; Viridiplantae; Streptophyta; Magnoliopsida; Fabales; Fabaceae. The record is from RNAcentral.